GACCAUGUAGCUCAGUGGAUAGAGCGCUACCCUGCGGAGGUAGAGGCCGGAGGUUCGAGUCCCCCCAUGGUCG
This 73-nucleotide transfer RNA is filed under the name Ardenticatenales bacterium. Its description in RNAcentral is "tRNA-Arg". It matches the Rfam family "tRNA". Rfam says of the family: Transfer RNA (tRNA) molecules are approximately 80 nucleotides in length. Their secondary structure includes four short double-helical elements and three loops (D, anti-codon, and T loops). Lineage: Bacteria; Bacillati; Chloroflexota; Ardenticatenia; Ardenticatenales. The record is from RNAcentral.